RNAcentral lists this ribosomal RNA (467 nucleotides) under uncultured bacterium. RNAcentral's name for it is "partial 16S ribosomal RNA". It matches the Rfam family "Bacterial small subunit ribosomal RNA", at positions 28 to 507 of the family's 1533-position model. The record is from RNAcentral.
GAUGAACGCUGGCGGCGUGCUUAGCACAUGCAAGUCGAACGGAAAGGCCCAAGCUUGCUGGGGUACUCGAGUGGCGAACGGGUGAGUAACACGUGGGUAAUCUGCCCUGCACUUUGGGAUAAGUCUGGGAAACUGGGUCUAAUACCGGAUAGGACCACAUUUUGGAUGGUGUGGGGGAAAGAUUUUCGGCGUGGGGUGAUGUCGCGGCCUGUAAGCUGGUUGGUGGGGUAGUGGCGGACAACGGCGUCGAGGGGUAGUCGGCCUGAGAGGGGGUAAGGCCCCAUUGGGACUGUGAGACGGCGCACAGUCCCACGGGGGGGAGAAGUGGGGAAAAUUUGACAAAGGGCGCAAGCCUGAUGCAGCGACGCCGCGUGGGGGAUGACGGCCUUUGGGUUGUAAACUCCGUUCGCUAGGGACGAAGCGCUUUUGUGACGGUACCUGGAGAAGAAGCACCGGCUAACUACGUG